GCGUAAGACAGAGAAGGAAAGUGUAAAUUGGCACAAAGGUCCAAUUUACAAUCAACCAGCAAGCUGCAUCCCAUAAUUAUUAGAGAGAACCUCUUUUCUCAGAUAUGCGCGAAAACUGAAGGAUGGCGAUGUUCCAGUUCGCAUCUUGUCUUGGAAAGCACAGAUUUGGGAUCUGUGGCAAAACAUACCGUAGUUUGCAUUGUAGCCAGAGAGGGAAAGCUUCAUUUUGGCAGCAGUUUCAAUGCCAUUUUCUUGGAGGAAGGUGCGCUCCUACUGCCCAUCAGCAAAGGAAUGAUCAGGAGCUCACUUUACUGAGAUAAGUUUUUAAAAAAAUGGAUUUUAAUAUAAAAAGGGGAAAAGAGAGGGUGGAAACAAAAAAACAAUAAGGAACCAAUAAAGAAGAAAGAUUACGCAAAUCACACAUAUUAAGUGGCCAAAGCAAAGUUAACUCAAGAGU
This is a non-coding RNA of Podarcis muralis (Common wall lizard), 457 nucleotides long. Lineage: Eukaryota; Metazoa; Chordata; Lepidosauria; Squamata; Lacertidae. The record is from RefSeq and is a predicted model, not a curated record.